RNAcentral lists this ribosomal RNA (466 nucleotides) under uncultured bacterium. RNAcentral's name for it is "partial 16S ribosomal RNA". It matches the Rfam family "Bacterial small subunit ribosomal RNA", at positions 28 to 507 of the family's 1533-position model. The record is from RNAcentral.
GAUGAACGCUGGCGGCGUGCUUAACACAUGCAAGUCGAACGAUGAAGCCCAGCUUGCUGGGUGGAUUAGUGGCGAACGGGUGAGUAACACGUGAGUAACCUGCCCUUAACUCUGGGAUAAGCCUGGGAAACUGGGUCUAAUACCGGAUAGGAGCGUCCACCGCAUGGUGGGUGUUGGAAAGAUUUAUCGGUUUUGGAUGGACUCGCGGCCUAUCAGCUUGUUGGUGAGGUAAUGGCUCACCAAGGCGACGACGGGUAGCCGGCCUGAGAGGGUGACCGGCCACACUGGGAAUGAGAAACGGCCCAGACUCCUACGGGAGGCAGCAGUGGGGAAUAUUGCACAAUGGGCGCAAGCCUGAUGCAGCGACGCCGCGUGAGGGAUGACGGCCUUCGGGUUGUAAACCUCUUUCAGUAGGGAAGAAGCGAAAGUGACGGUACCUGCAGAAGAAGCACCGGCUAACUACGUG